RNAcentral lists this long non-coding RNA (1673 nucleotides) under Pan troglodytes (chimpanzee). RNAcentral describes it as "long non-coding RNA NONPTRT003468". The record is from RNAcentral. Lineage: Eukaryota; Metazoa; Chordata; Mammalia; Primates; Hominidae.
UUAAGAUGUGACUUAGACGCAAGAGGAAAGUUCUACCUUCUUCCUGUCCCUUAGGAAUGGCUUUUGUUAAAGGAUGAUAGGGUUAAGAGUUUUUUAAGAGAUGGCCUCAACCAUUUCCUACCCUUACCUACCUGCUUCAGUGGAUUUCAUAUUUUUCUUUUUGACAUGGGGCCCUUUUCAAAGGAAAUCAUAUGCAGAACCAUAUAAACUGUAUAAAAGCAGAUUGUUAAGUUGCCUAGAAGUGGUGUGUGGUAGUUCAGAAGCCACCACAAGGUGACCAUGCUGUGAUAUUCAAGAUAUGGUUUAUAUAAGGAACUAAAUACCCACCUCACCCCACUAGUGUAUGAGGCAAGUGUCCUAAGUGAAUGGGUAUGUAGUGUUUCAAAUACCCAUCUUAUGCCAAGAGCGAAAGAAAGGUGCCACUUAAUGAUAAACUCAUAAUUGAACUUUGCAAGUUUUGAAGCAGUCAGACUGUAGUCAAAGGGCUAGGGAUUUCAGCCUAAAGGAAUACAGAAUCCCAAGUGGGAGGGGCUCUGCUUGAGCAGGUACUGAUACUAGGACCAAGUGAUGGAAUGUGGCCUAGAUAUUGAUGAUCUCCUGCAUCAUUAUUCCUUAUAGCUGCCAUUGGCUCAGAACUUGCUCAGUGUGCCUGUGCAUCUUGCUGUAGCUACUGGACAUCUCUGUUCUCUCCUGCUUUUCUUUCCUGACUAGGUGACCUGUCCAGGAAGGAUUAGACCCUGUACUCUCCAUUCUUUCCUCACCUCCUUCCUUUUUUCUAUGCCUGGCAGGAGCUGGACAGUUUCAUCUCUUGCAUGUAUCGAAGGAUGACCGCAGUGAUGUGGAGAGCAGCUCAGAGGAAGAAGAUGUGACCACCUGCACAAAAAGUCCCUGUGACAGUAGCUCCAGCAAUGGUGCCAAUCGGGUGAAUGGUCACAUGGGAGGCAGCUACUGGGCUGAAGAGUAAGGUGGUUGCUAUGGGGACUUCAGCACACAUGGACUUGUAGGGCCACUGGCAACAUACUCCUCUUGGCCCUUCCCAUAUCUACUCUUCUGUGAUUGGGAGACUGCAAGGCACUGAGGAGUAUCAAAGAAGCAAAUAUUUUCACUUUGAAAGAAAACUGCCAUUUUGUAUUUAAUAGUCUCCAGGUUCUUUCAGUAAUGUUAUUUGCUCUGUGUGUUUUUGUGUGUUUGUUGAUGUGCGUUUGUGCAUAUGCGUGAGUUUCAUUGCCGGGUUGGGGCACAAUUGUGGACUGGGGCCGUGAGGCCUUCCCUGGUCCCCACUGAACCCACCUUAGUUCCACAUUUGGCUGCAUCUUGAAUUAUGCCGACUCCAGACUGUCUCCUCCUUUUUUGCCCUUGGCUCUUGACACUCUAAACCCCUGGACCAUCUGAAUGGAGCAGUCAAGUGCAGUCCCAGAUUUCUGUACUGUUCCUCUUUCACAGCUGGAAUAUGUCACAUGAUGAAGUUGUAUAGAAACAGAACCAUGGAUGGAUGGCCAGGAUUGCCGUGGUCCCUAGCUAGAUCCCCUUCCUAUCAAUCACCUGAUAGCAACAGGGACAGCUGCCAAUACCCUGCUCUUUACUCAAUGGUACCCAGGGAGGGAGCAUGGGAAGAGGGUGAGCUGAGGGCUGGGGGAGGGCAACAGCCACUGGGUGAGCUGUUCACGGUCUUA